ACACAUUUGGCGCUGAGAAAGCCACUCGACCACGUCAGAGAUGGGUAUUUCUUCAUAUAUCUCAUUCUCUCUCUCUUUUUUUUACAUGAAUUCAUUCGUGUCCGGCGACACAGAGAAAAUGAAUAAAAAGAAAAGCACUUCGGGAUACAUACACAAAAAUAUCCCCCGCCGAAAGCGAUGAGAAAAAAAAAGCUACGGGUAAUGUCGAAGACGCUCAAUUGUUUAUUUCUCCACAAUACUAUGCUCCCGAGUCCCAACAAACCAGAAGUAGUUCAACUCUCUCUUUAUUCUUAUGCCAAUGCUGCGCGGCCAAAAUCAAGACAAGUCUUAAUAUAUAUUCCAAAACCAGGAGUGGCAAAGUGUGUAAUCAUCUCUUUUUUUUUGGGUGAGUGGCCAACAAAUAACAUUGCCAUUCAUUGCAAUCGUGUGAGCUGGUCGAGGCAUAUGAGUCAGCCAAGCACCUGGAAUGUAACCUAUCAAUAUCAUUAGUCCCACCUCAUUUUGCCUCAAAUGGGCCAGCCUUCCAUCAUCACUACCUAUGUUGGUUUAGGCAGAUUCCAGCCGUUGGUGUAACAUUGAUGACUUGGAAUACAUGUACGGACUUUGGAAGUAUUCAGUGACAUAUAUAGUUUAUAUCUAAAAGGCAAACUCAUUAAGUUCCCGGGGACACACGUCGUGUAAAGCACCUGUGGACGUAUGUGCGAUCGGACUGGGAGAGGGACCACUGUCGUUAAACAUUUGAAAACUCGAUGGAGGAGAUAUCAGGAGUAACAAUCCGUGAGCAGUUGAGGGAGAAAAUGUGAGAGAAAGUGUGGAAAAAUUUUCUGUUAUUUUUCUAUACCGUAACUUUCAAUACA
Long non-coding RNA from Tarenaya hassleriana, 857 nucleotides. RefSeq lists it as uncharacterized. The transcript is spliced from 3 exons. NCBI's taxonomy places the organism in Eukaryota, Viridiplantae, Streptophyta, Magnoliopsida, Brassicales, Cleomaceae. The record is from RefSeq and is a predicted model, not a curated record.